Molecule: long non-coding RNA, 506 nt
Filed under: Mus musculus (house mouse)
Lineage: Eukaryota; Metazoa; Chordata; Mammalia; Rodentia; Muridae
Description: long non-coding RNA chr4:22275832-22276338
Source: RNAcentral
AUGGUGGGGUGGACCAGAAGGUGGGAGAAAAGAAGCCUGAGAAACCUCAGCAAGCCAGAGCAGGGGUGGGUGGGGGUUGGAGGUGUUUUUCUAGUAAUGAAGGUAGAAGUUCCAGUUGCAGGGCUAAAAAGACAUCAGUCAAAGAAGCAGCUGCAGACCUCCUAACAAAGUCCACAAAGACCUCCAAGUGUGAAUUUGCUGUAGGCAGUCAGAUGACAAAGAAAGUGUCAACCCUCUCCAUCAGACUUGGAUGAAGCAAUCAUAAGGAAGUGAUUCUGUCUCUCACUCCAAAAACACUUUCAGUAGCAGCAGCGCUCCAGGAAGAUGAAGAUAGUGAACCAGAAGACAUGCCUGCAGAAGCAAAGAUUGGGUUGAAGAACAUUGAGAAGGACACACCAACAUCAGCUGCACCAAACCCCUUUAAUAAAGAAAAGCGUAGCUUUCCUGAUAUCCAGAAGUGAUGGGAGCAGAAUAUAAAACUUCAUCUUGGAAAUGUACACAGCCAA